AGGAAGCGGAGGUCCGCCAAGCCCACAGGCGACAUCUACAGCAGAACGGAGUGACAGGGUCUCCCCCAGCCCACCAGCAGCUGGAAAACCCACAUGGUGUGCUUGUCUGCAGGCUAGACGUCAGAGCGGGGCAGGGCCGCCCGGCGGCCCUGAGGACAGGCCUGCAGGGCGGCCGGACGGGCAGAGCAGAGGCCCGGACACAGCGCGUCUGCAGGCUCCAGAUUCCAGGCGGUUGCUAGGCGACCAUGGCGGCAUCUGAGCAGCAAGAGACGCCCAGACUCAGACGUGGCUUCACAACUCCCAGAAAGGAAGAACCAAAACCAGCUCCUCUCAAGGAGGAGGAGGGAGGCCCUUCCUAACUCGCCCACGAGGCUGACGUCACCCCAACACCACGGCCGCGAAGACCGCGAUCACGGAGAAAACGCCGAAAACAAAAAACUGCAGACCUACGUCCUUCAUGGAUAUAAAUGCAAAAACCCCCAGCAAAAGAGCAGCAAAGAGAAGUGUGCGCUGUGGCCAAGGGACACUUCUCCCAAGAAUGGGAGUGGCUCGGCCUGCCAAAAUCAAUCCGUGCGACCAGUCACUUCAACAGAAUCAAAGACAAAAGUCACGGGGUGCUCUCAGCUGACGUGCAGAAAGCGCUGGACAAAACCAACUCCUUUUCAUAAUUAAAGAAAGGGAAAACUUGAACUAGGGCUAGAAGGGACCGCCCUCAAUCUGACAAAGGCCACCGGGAAAAGCCCAGAGUUGACAAGCCUGAGAGUGUCCCCACCGGGACCGGGACGAGGACCCCACUUUUGCCACCUCUAUUCCCCAUGGCAGCGGGGGGUCUAAGCGGGCAGUUAGGCAAGGAAGGCGGGGGCGGGGGAGAGAGACAAGGACAGGAGAGGAGAAGCAAGGUCACCUCCGCGUCUGAAAUUCCGGAGGAGUCACCUGCGCGGUGGCGGGCGGGGCGGGCGGGGCGGGCACCGAGGGAAGAAGACAGUGAGCUGACAGCUGCUGAAGCUGCCUGACGGAUACAUUCUUUUCCCUAAUGUUACAUAUGUUUAAAGUUUUGUAUAAUAAAGAUUUUAAAACCCUUCACAACAUUGUAAACUGACUAUAAUUCAACUUA
This is a non-coding RNA of Vicugna pacos (alpaca), 1114 nucleotides long. The record is from RefSeq and is a predicted model, not a curated record. Lineage: Eukaryota; Metazoa; Chordata; Mammalia; Artiodactyla; Camelidae.